RNAcentral lists this ribosomal RNA (522 nucleotides) under Triticum aestivum (bread wheat). Its description in RNAcentral is "partial small subunit ribosomal RNA". Lineage: Eukaryota; Viridiplantae; Streptophyta; Magnoliopsida; Poales; Poaceae. The record is from RNAcentral.
AUGUGCGGAUCGAUGAAACUAAUGGCUCGCAAAGAGAGCACCCCUUCUGUGAUAGAUGAACCAGCACCUGAGGAAACUAUCAAGUUCAAGGCUACUGAGGAUGUCAUUCCGACCGAAGAAUCUGCUGAAGAAUUCAUUCCAGAACGAGAAGAACGUCAAGCUGAUGCACCUGAAGAAAAUGGUGCUGAAGAAAAUGCUGAUCAAAUUCCUCGACGACAACCAGCUCAUCCUCGUGUUGCAAACGAAGUGCAAAUUGAGAAAAUCAUUGAUGACAUUGAAGCACCAGGUCCUCUCACACGCUCAAGAGCUUCACAUUUGUCUAACUUUUGUGGGCACUUUGCUUUUGUCUCUACCACAGAGCCCACUAAGGUAGAUGAAGCAUUUCUGGAGCCUGAGUGGAUUCAAGCUAUGCAAGAAGAAUUACAUCAGUUCAAGCUCAAUAACGUCUGGGAACUCGUGAAACAUCCAGAUCCUCGCAAGCACAAUAUCAUUGGCACAAAGUGGAUCUACCACAACAAGUAA